RNAcentral lists this ribosomal RNA (492 nucleotides) under uncultured bacterium. RNAcentral's name for it is "partial 16S ribosomal RNA". It matches the Rfam family "Bacterial small subunit ribosomal RNA", at positions 29 to 507 of the family's 1533-position model. The record is from RNAcentral.
AGUGAACGCUGGCGGUAGGCCUAACACAUGCAAGUCGAACGGCAGCACAGUAAGAUCUUGCUCUUACGGGUGGCGAGUGGCGGACGGGUGAGGAAUACAUCGGAAUCUACUUUUUCGUGGGUGAUAACGGAGGGAAACUUACGCUAAUACCUCAUACGACCUACGGGUGAAAGCAGGGGAUCUUCGGACCUUUCGCGAUUGAAUGAGCCGAUGUCGGAUUAGCUAGUUGGCGGGGUAAAGGCCCACCAAGGCGACGAUCCGUAGCUGGUCUGAGAGGAUGAUCAGCCACACUGGAACUGAGACACGGUCCAGACUCCUACGGGAGGCAGCAGUGGGGAAUAUUGGACAAUGGGCGCAAGCCUGAUCCAGCCAUACCGCGUGGGUGAAGAAGGCCUUCGGGUUGUAAAGCCCUUUUGUUGGGAAAGAAAAGCAGCAGGUUAAUACCCCGCUGUUCUGACGGUACCCAAAGAAUAAGCACCGGCUAACUUCGUG